Molecule: non-coding RNA, 45 nt
Filed under: Schistosoma mansoni
Lineage: Eukaryota; Metazoa; Platyhelminthes; Trematoda; Strigeidida; Schistosomatidae
Source: RNAcentral
AUCCAACUGAUGAGUUUUAAAUAGGACGAAACGCGCGUCCUGGAU